This is an RNA transcript of Zalophus californianus (California sea lion), 5715 nucleotides long. It is a transcript of the gene named DNA replication fork stabilization factor DONSON, with no coding region annotated. NCBI's taxonomy places the organism in Eukaryota, Metazoa, Chordata, Mammalia, Carnivora, Otariidae. The record is from RefSeq and is a predicted model, not a curated record. The transcript is spliced from 12 exons.
CCGAGGAGUAGGGGCGGGGCCUCGCGGGCGGCCGACGUCCCUCGCCCUUGCCGCGCCUUGGGGGCGGGGCCACGUCGGGGGCGGGGCCGGCGCGCGCGCGGGAAGCGCCAGCGGGGAGGCCGGCCGACCCCUCUGCGUGAGCCGCGCGUUAUGGCCCUAUCGGUGCCUGGCUACUCGCCCAGUUUCAGGAAGCCUCCCGAGACUUUGCGGCUCCGACGGAAAAGGGCCCGGAGCCGGGGGGCGGCCGCUUCACCCGGCGAGCAGCCCGAGCCGGCGCCCCGCCGCGCCGCUUUGGCGGCCGGGCUGCUCCUCCGCCCCUUCCCGGCGGCGGCGGCGGCGGUGGGCAGAGGCGGCGGCGGCCCGGCCGCGGCCCGCAGGAACCCCUUCGCCCGCCUGGACAACCGGCCUUCGGCCGCCGCGGAGCCCCCCGACGGGCCGCCCCGCGGCCAGCAGGAGGCGCAGGGCCCGUUUUUAGAUUCUAAUCAGGAAAAUGAUUUGCUGUGGGAAGAGAAGUUUCCUGAAAGAACAACCGUUACUGAAUUACUCCAGACUCCACAAGGAUCAGUCUCUGAAUCUGAUAUUCCAUCCUCAGAAAGUACUGAGUUACCUGCAGACUGGAGUAUUAAAACUCGACUCCUUUUCACUUCUUCUCAACCCUUUACCUGGGCAGAUCAUUUGAAAGCACAGGAAGAGGCUCACGGUGUCAUCCAGCAUUGUAGGGCAACAGAAGUUACUUUGCCUCAAAGUAUACAGGAUCCCAGGCUCUCCACUGAGCUCCGUUGUGCCUUCCAGCAGAGCCUUAUCUAUUGGCUCCAGCCUGCCUUUCCUUGGCUACCACUGUUCCCUCGCAUUGGAGCUGAUAGAAAAAUGUCUGGAAAGAUAAGCCCUUGGUCAAAUGAUGAAACCUUGCAACACAUUUUAAUGAGUGACUGGUCUGUGAGCUUCACUUCUCUCUAUAAUCUGCUGAAGACAAAACUUUGCCCAUAUUUCUACGUUUGUACCUAUCAGUUUACUAUCCUGUUCCGCGCAGCAGGAUUAGCUGGAAAUGAUGUAAUCACAGCUCUCAUAUCUCCUACAACUAGAGGCAUAAGAGAAGCUAUGAAAAAUGAAGGUAUUGAAUUUUCUCUGCCAUUAAUAAAAGAAAAUGGCCAUGGGAAGAAAAAGGCUUCCGGAACAAGCCAAGGACAGGGAGAGGAACAAGUAAUCAGUGAUGAGGAUGAAGAUGAAAGUUUUUCCUGGCUGGAAGAGAUGGGUGUGCAAGAUAAAAUUAAAAAACCAGACAUACUCUCUAUCAAGCUACGUAAAGAGAAACAUGAAGUGCAAAUGGAUCACAGACCUGAGUCUGUUGUGUUGGUGAAGGGAAUGAAUACCCUUACGUUGCUGAAUUUUUUGAUCAACUCUAAGAGUUUAAUUGCUAGUUCAGGUCCCCAGGCAGGACUUCCACCAACCCUCUUAUCGCCUGUAGCUUUCCGAGGUGCCACAAUGCAAAUGCUUAAGGCACGAAGUGUAAAUGUGAAGACACAAGCUGUUUCUGGAUACAAAGAUCAAUUUAGUUUGGAGAUUACAGGUCCUGUCAUGCCUCAUUCUCUACAUUCUGUAACCAUGCUACUCAGAUCUUCACAAAAGGGGUCAUUUUCUGCUGGACUGUAUACACAUGAGCCAACUGCCGUAUUUAAUACCUGCCUGCCAGUAAAUAAAGUACUGGAUAAGGAGACUGUUCAUGAGGAGCUUGCCAACUGUGGGUUGCAUCCUAAGACUCUGGACCAACUCAGUCAAACACCAAUACUGGGAAAAUCAUCUUUAAGGCAUGUGGAAAUGAGUGACUACGUUUAUAAUUGGAGAUCCUGAACACCAAACUUUGUAAAUUAUAUGCUGGGGAGAAAGCAUGCCAAUGAUGUGUGACUAGACAUUAAGUUCAACAAGGUGCUCUGAUGGAAGGAGGCAGCUGUGGAGGCUUACUAAGUGAGCUGCAAGUUCAUGUCAAAACCUUAUUACCAGAUGAUAAUUAAUUUUCUAUUUGUAUUUUUAAAUGUGAAGAAAUCUACUCAAAAUAAAAUGAACCAGGAUUAUCUUAACUCUUAAGGAUCCUCAAGAGUUUGAAUCAAAAAGCAUGUUUCCAGGUUUUCAAGGUAAUUCAAGAUAUGCAAUAAUGCACAAAAAGCCAAAUAUAAUCCCCAAAGCAUUAAUACUCAAGGACUAGACCAAAUGUUACAUAUCAGUAUUAAAAUUCUCAUAAAACAUCAGAGCUAUUCUUUAGAACACUGGCCAGUAUCAUUCUCUACAAUAACAGCUAAAGGGCACUUGAAAUGUGGCUAGGGCAAUUUAAGGAACUGAUUUUUCAGUGGCCAGUGACUACAACUUUGGACUAUACGGUGUGUGUGAUGUGUGUACAGUAUACAGUGGAUUAUACUACACAGUGAACUUUAGAGCCUUAACCAUCUUUUGAUGUUGCUCAGAAAUAGGAAUAUGUGAAAGGUACCAAAGUGAUGCUUUUUAGAAAGCCAUUCUAAAAACAAGGGGGGAGAAAUCUUAAAUCUCAUAGAAUACUACUGUCAAGUUGUCAUCAAGCCUUUUUUGUUUCCCCUGAUAGACUACAGAUUUUCUAAAGUCUAAUUAUGAUACUAUAGUAAUAUUCUAAGUAUUAUAAUGGAGGGAAAUGUUUAAUUCCUUUAGGCUAGAACUUAUUCUAAGAAGUAAAAUCUACGUAAGAGUAUUCUGAAUUAUAAUUCCAGUUCUCAUAUUAAUAAAAACCUAUCCAAGUUAUUUCAUCUCUCUACAACAGCAACACAGCAGAUCACUUCUUCCGUAAUCCAAAAAAGUGUCAGGAAUAAUGAAAUCCAUAAUGUAACAUGCAUUUCAUAACCCAAGUUAUAACUGUGUACCUUCUGUAUCUUUCUCAUUUAAAAAACCCUAAGUCAAAAAGAAAAAAAAAAAUCCUAAGUCAAUUUACUUCCCCCUUUUGUCAACCCAACUAUUUACAUAAAUAUAACAAUUAUCUUAGGUAUUUCUUAGUCAAUGGCAGAAAAAGGUUAAAAGGAAUUAUUAGGAGGGGGUCAGUCAGAUAAGAAAAAUAAGCCCUGUAAUAUGAAAAUUAUUUUCUACAAAGAUAAUUGCAGGUAUCUUAAAAGACAGUAUAAAAGGAAACUUUUAAUUGUAAGAACAUGGAACUAAGAAAAUGCAUCUGACCUGUAUAUAAAAUACGAUUUUAAAAUACUUAGCAAAAAUUAACAAGUUACAAAGAGGUUCAUAUAGAAAAGAAGAGGACAACUACAAAAACAAAAGCCACAAAUACAGAAUAUCUCAGUUGUCAUGUGUUGGUUUUUAAACCAUGAAUUAUGAAUCUUUUUAUUACAUCAUAUAGACUUCUCUAGUAUAACUCGUACAUUUAAUCUAAAUAAACUACAGUAACAAAACAAACAGACAACCUACUAAAUGGUUCAAAGAAAUUCAGUGUUAAUCACCGAGGAAAAUCUAAGGAAAGAAUGAAUAACAAGGCUGUAUUUAACCAUUCUAGCGCUGCCAGGACCCGUGUGAUAAAUUUUCAAUUAAAAUUUACAUCUUACCCCAAGCACUGAGCUUUCCUAAACUAUAAAUUUAAAACUUCUACAACACUUCAGAGAACUGUAGCUCCACUGGGAUGUGGAAAUAUUUUUUAGUAAAAGCAACCAGGCGCACUGCCUACACCUCUGGACCUCUAUAAACAUUUAUGAUUAAUAGUAAACCCAAGGAAAUUUUGUGUCAAAGAUUACAUUUAAAUCUUCUACCCAAUAAGCCUCUAACUUGAUUACCAAGAAUGAGUGCCCCCAAGGACAAUUUUUUAAAUAUUCGUUUUCCAACAUUUUUGAUUUCACUGUUUAUGAAUCAAAUUCACACAAAUAUGGUCAAAGUUCUGUAGUCACUCCUUACUGAGGAUGCUGCUGGCUGGCUUCUGGGUAGGAAGACGAUGCUAUGGCAGUAAGGCACAGUCUGAUGAGCUGAUAUUCCAUAAGAUACGGAUUUAUGUUGAUCCAUCCACAUCUAUCCACUCACGUUUAUGUCAAAGAGCACUCAUGUGCAAGACAAUUAGUGGGGUUAAGGAUUACAGCAAAGCUGAGAUCAAAUCUGUGAUCUUUGCUUAAAUGUUUUAGGCUUAAAACUAAAAAACCACAAACUCCAUUUAUAUUUAUUAAAAUGAAAAAGAUUUGGGAAGUUAAAAAAAAAUACUAUUAAACAGUGACCAUUUGAAAGAUUCCUUUUACUCUAUAAAAGCCUUCAUUUCAACCCCUCACAGGGAAUCAAAAGGGUCAAUGCUCCCAUAAAAUGUCACCAAUAGUAUUCCACAAACAUCGGUAUAUAGAACAUAAUCUUACAAAUGUAUUUGCAAGAUACAGCUAAGUAACUAGAACUAAACAUUUUAUAAGUGAUCAUUUCCUCGAGGUGUUUACUACUAUUGUUGGGUAAAAGUACAGAGACCUAAAAAGCAAAACAAAACCCUACCCUUUUUCCUCUUCUAAAAUUUUGGGAUUUGUUUCUGCUUAAAGUUAACCUACAUAUUUUUUCAGUCUGAUCUUCUACGAAACUAGCUCAAAGAGUUCUGAUAUCAAAUACUUGUAUAUACCCUCCCAUAGGAGAAAUCCGCUUUUCUUUAGCCCUCUGAACUUUUUUUCCGGCUUUCAUGAAAGACUGCUUAAUACAAAAUUCGAAUACCCAACUUUUCCCCCCGGGAUUUCUUUGGAAUAAUUCUCCCCAACUUUUAAAAUCUGACAACCGCUUUUGAUGACAGACAAGACUAAGGCACCACACUGUCAGUGUUAAGACUGAAAAUGGCAGAGUACUAAACUUCAAAUAUAUAAAUACAUAUACAUAAAGUCUCAAUCAAAAAGAAACAUUCAUCAGGAUUCACUAAGCACUUUUCCCAUGUUCAACUAAGGUUAAAAUAGUUAUGAUCACUUAUUUUCUCAGGGUAAUCCCUUGGAAUUUUUCAAUAUUCUCAGCUGGAAAUGUCUUCUCACAUAAUCUCCGUAUGUCUUUCCCAACUCUGUUAAAUGCUUAAUCUAAAAAUUACUAAAAGCGUAUGUAUCAGAAUUUCUAAGUAUGUCUGUUUGGCCCUCUUAUCAUGAUCUAUAUUCAGCUACUACAAGAUUUAAGUCAUUUGCAAAUGUCAGUUAACCCUUCCCUCUUGAGAUGUGCAGGUAGCCUGAUUUGGGGAUUAGCAACCGAGCUACUCAAUUGGUUUUAUUAAAAUAAUGUCCAAACCAACUAUCCCUUCCUCACUGGUGUAGUAUAACUUGCUUUAACUGCUGAAUCCCAUGUAAAUAUAAAUCAUCACUGGGGACUGUAAGUUGCACUAGCUAAUUAUCAUGUCUGGCUUCAUCAUACAGAACUUGUUCUCUCUUAAAAUGCCACGGGUCAAAAAAAAACACUGUGAAAAUGUCACCUGUGAAUAGCUCAGGGGAAAAAAUAUACUAUCAAAAGAUUUCUGAUUUGGGUUCUGUUCACUUUCUGAUUUUAUAAACAACAGGAUUUGUUUACUUGUAAUAAUGGAGGUGUUUAGUUUAAGAUGAUAUGGCCAAUGAAGGCAAUCUGAGUUGGAGAGAACAGGUCUCUCUGACCCACGUAUCCCAGAACUGCAAGAAAAGAAGUGGGGACGAAGUCCCACAUUGUAAGGGCAUCAUAUUAUCUAGUCCAGUCCUUGGACAAAUGUCUGAGCUUUGGAACCAAGGGCAAGAGGUGAUA